This 756-nucleotide long non-coding RNA is filed under the name Gallus gallus (chicken). RNAcentral describes it as "lncRNA (ENSGALG00000052011.1)". The record is from RNAcentral. Lineage: Eukaryota; Metazoa; Chordata; Aves; Galliformes; Phasianidae.
AUGAAAGAUCGGCUGUAGUAGCCUUUGUAUGCCUAUAACACUUCAACUUUCAAAGUUUUGUACUCUACUGAAUACCUCUCUUACUCACCACGAAUAUCAGCUUUGCGGAAAGAAAUUUCUGAUUUGUAAAUUCUGGGCUCUACUAAUGGAAAAAAAAAGGAGGAUAGAGAAGCAUUUGUACAGGAUAUCCAGAGAUGCACGGUCACCUUCAUCCUCAGUGGUUUCCAGGACCCAAACAGAAAAUUCUCUGAGCAACAUGUGCUUAUCUCUGAUUUGGCCAUGCUCUGAGCAGGAGGUUGGACAAAAGGCCUCAUGAUGUCCCUUCCUGAAUUAAUUAGUUGAGUUCAUAUUCUUGAUACUGAUGUCCUGGACCCAGAUGAAAAUUGGUGGUGAUUUCCACCACCAGUCAGCUCCUGCGGUUCUCAUGAAGAUUGUGUCUGCCUGUGCUCUUUUGCUGAGUACUCCCAGAAGUGUUCAUGGGCCAGAGGUGGUCCAUACUGCUUAUUGAUUCUGAAAGUUCAAAAGGACAAAUAUUUUUUCUAUCUACAGUGCAGUAUUUUGAUCUAGCAACCAAGGGUGUUGUUUGUUUGUUUGUCUGUUUAAUUUAUACUUUCUGGAAACCCAUUGCAUACUGACAUAAUAAAUGUCUAAAAAGUGUUUGAAGGAAGUAUUCCAUAUAUAUUCAGACAAACAAUUGUUAUCUUAUCAAAGGUGCCCUAGCUGAAUCAGAAAACAAAGAUAAUAAAACAAAUUAUG